Molecule: ribosomal RNA, 460 nt
Filed under: uncultured bacterium
Lineage: Bacteria
Description: partial 16S ribosomal RNA
Rfam family: Bacterial small subunit ribosomal RNA
Source: RNAcentral
CCUACGGGUGGCAUCAGUGAGGAAUAUUGGUCAAUGGGCGCGAGCCUGAACCAGCCAAGUAGCGUGAAGGAUGACUGCCCUAUGGGUUGUAAACUUCUUUUAUAAAGGAAUAAAGUGAGGUACGUGUGUCUUUUUGUAUGUAUUUUAUGAAUAAGGAUCGGCUAACUCCGUGCCAGCAGCCGCGGUAAUCCGGAGGUUCCGAGCGUUAUCCGGGUUUAUUGGGUUUAAAGGGAGCGUAGAUGGGUUGUUAAGCUAGUUGUGAAAGUUUGCGGCUCAACCGUAAAAUUGCAAUUGAUACUGGCCGUCUAGAGUACAGUUGAGGUAGGCGGAAUUCGUGGUGUAGCGGUGAAAUGCUUAGAUAUUACGAAGAACUCCGAUCGCGAAGGCAGCUUACUAAACUGCCACUGACAUUGAUGCUCGAAAGUGUGGGGAUCAAACAGGAUUAGAUACCCGAGUAGUC